GCCUUAGGAUGAGUCUGCGGCCCAUUAGGUUGUAGUGGGGGUAACGGCCCCACUAGCCCGCGAUGGGUACGGGUGUUGGGAGACAUUGCCCGGAGAUGGAUUCUGAGACAUGAAUCCAGGUCCUACGGGAUGCAGCAGGCGCGAAACCUUCGCAAUGUAGGAAACUACGACGAGGGGAUACCAAGUGCUAGCACUUUGUGUUAGCUGUUUUCUUGUCUAAAAAACAAGGAGAGUAAAGGGCGGGUAAGAUCGGGUGCCAUUUCGCGCAGUCCUGCGCUUAUUGCGCUUCGCUGCGCGAAGCACAAGCCGCCGCGGUAAUACCCGCGCCCUGAGUGGUGCUCGUUAUUAUUAGGUCUAAAACAUCCGUAGCCGGUUCUGUAAAUGCCCAGGUAAAUCGACGGGCCUAACUCGUCGAAUUCUGGGUAGACUGCAGGACUUGGGAUCGGGAGAGGUCAGAGGUACUUCGGGGGUAGGGGUAAAAUCCUGUAAUCCUUGAAGGACCACCGGUGGCGAAGGCGUCUGACUAGAACGACUCCGACGGUGAGGGAUGAAGCCCUGGGGCGCAAACGGGAUUAGAUACCCCGGUAGUCCAGGGUGUAAACGCUGUGGGCUUUGUGUUGGACAUCCUACGAGGAUGUCCAGUGCCGGAGAGAAGUUGUUAAGCCCACUACCUGGGGAGUACGGCCGCAAGACUGAAACUUA
RNAcentral lists this ribosomal RNA (702 nucleotides) under uncultured archaeon. Its description in RNAcentral is "bacterial SSU rRNA". It matches the Rfam family "Archaeal small subunit ribosomal RNA", at positions 201 to 858 of the family's 1478-position model. The record is from RNAcentral.